AAAAUAUGUGGUGUGUGGCUUGGCAGACACCUCCCUACAGUUUCUCUCUCUGCCUGGAGGAAGCUUCGGUCUCCUCAAUACUAGAUCCAAGAGGUCAUAAUCAUUUGGAACUCAUACAAAAGCGGCAGAGCCUAUUUCCCAACCCCAGCGAUACAAGGGAAUGUCUUCACAUCUGCACACGCCGAGAUUUGGCAACUCACCUAGAUGGAGCUUCUUUAUCGGGCAUCUCCUUGGAGAUCUGAUGAGAUUUUCUGAUAUCAUUUUAGGACAGACCAUUGUUGAAUGAGAGAGAGAACAUAACAUAGAUAAAAAUGGAAGAAUUGUCAGAGCCACAGAGCAAGAGCUCCCAGAAUCUGGAAAUUAUAGCUAUAAAAGGAAGUCUUCAGGGUCAGAUGACACAUAGUAAGAUGGGAAGGUCAUACGCCCACUUGAGCCAAUCCCUGUGUCCUCUCCCACUGCUGAUGGUAGACAUCCCUGGAUGUUCAUCACCCAAUCUCCUCAGGCUGCACAGGAAAUCAUGACAGAGAAGGAAGGAGAAGAGUCAGGCCACACAUUUUCUGGGGCUGGGCGUAAAUGGUGUUGUCAGUGGGAUUUGGAGCCAGAAGAUAGAACUAAGGUCCCUAUGUCAUCGUUUGGAAUAUAGGCACCCACCAGC
Nannospalax galili (Upper Galilee mountains blind mole rat) is the source of this 655-nucleotide long non-coding RNA. RefSeq lists it as uncharacterized. The transcript has 4 exons. The record is from RefSeq and is a predicted model, not a curated record. Lineage: Eukaryota; Metazoa; Chordata; Mammalia; Rodentia; Spalacidae.